This 322-nucleotide long non-coding RNA is filed under the name Rosa chinensis. RNAcentral's name for it is "sRNA RchiOBHm_Chr5g0068841". Lineage: Eukaryota; Viridiplantae; Streptophyta; Magnoliopsida; Rosales; Rosaceae. The record is from RNAcentral.
UGAUGUGGUUCGAGCUGAAUGGGCAAAUCAUGUUAUACAGUUCUAACUUUGGUUCUGUUUAAGGUAGAUGAGUAGCACUUGGAACUGCUUUUGUGCAUUUAUAUACAACUGAUGGAAAGUGUUGAUGAACUUAAAUUAUGCAUGCAGUUGCUCUGUCUAGCUACUCUUUCUUUACCUUAUAGGUUUUUGACUUGGUGCACUAGGUAAAUGAUCGAGAUAAGAUGGUUUUUUGGUUCUCUCGAUCAUAAUGUCACUGUUGGCUAGGUUUAGAGUUGGAACUAUGGAUUGUAUUUUGGAUGAUGUUGAUGCAAUAGAUAUAUGA